GUAGUCUGCAACUCGACUACAUGAAGCUGGAAUCGCUAGUAAUCGCGAAUCAGAAUGUCGCGGUGAAUACGUUCCCGGGUCUUGUACACACCGCCCGUCACACCAUGGGAGUCGGAAAUGCCCGAAGUCAGUGACCCAACCGCAAGGAGGGAGCUGCCGAAGGUGGAGCCGGUAACUGGGGUGAAGUCGUAACAAGGUAGC
Molecule: ribosomal RNA, 201 nt
Filed under: uncultured bacterium
Lineage: Bacteria
Description: partial 16S ribosomal RNA
Rfam family: Bacterial small subunit ribosomal RNA
Source: RNAcentral